GUAAGGAGGAGGAAGGUGUGGACGACGUCAAGUCAUCAUGGCCCUUAUGCCCAGGGCGACACACGUGCUACAAUGGCAUAUACAAUGAGACGCAAUACCGCGAGGUGGAGCAAAUCUAUAAAAUAUGUCCCAGUUCGGAUUGUUCUCUGCAACUCGAGAGCAUGAAGCCGGAAUCGCUAGUAAUCGUAGAUCAGCCAUGCUACGGUGAAUACGUUCCCGGGUCUUGUACUCACCGCCCGUCACACCAUGGGAGUUGAUUUCACUCGAAGCCGGAAUACUAAACUAGUUACCGUCCACAGUGGAAUCAGCGACUGGGGUGAAGUCGUAACAAGGUAACCGUAGGAGAACCUGCGGUUGGAUCACCUCCUUUCUAG
RNAcentral lists this ribosomal RNA (374 nucleotides) under Campylobacter jejuni. Its description in RNAcentral is "bacterial SSU rRNA". It matches the Rfam family "Bacterial small subunit ribosomal RNA", at positions 1158 to 1533 of the family's 1533-position model. Lineage: Bacteria; Pseudomonadati; Campylobacterota; Epsilonproteobacteria; Campylobacterales; Campylobacteraceae. The record is from RNAcentral.